GAGUUUGAUCGUGGCUCAGGAUGAACGCUGGCGGCGUGCCUAACACAUGCAAGUCGAACGGGCGCGGCGUGCGGCAGGGGCCUCGGCCCCUGCGGCGCCGCGCGAGUGGCGGACGGGUGGAGUAACGCGUGGGCGAACCUGCCCUCGUACUGGGGGAGUAACACCUGGAACAAGGUGCUAAUACCGCAUAAGCGCGCAGUGCCGCAUGGCACGGCGCGGAAAACCCCGGUAGGUACAGGAUGGGCCCGCGUCUGAUUAG
RNAcentral lists this ribosomal RNA (259 nucleotides) under uncultured microorganism. RNAcentral's name for it is "partial 16S ribosomal RNA". It matches the Rfam family "Bacterial small subunit ribosomal RNA", at positions 9 to 244 of the family's 1533-position model. The record is from RNAcentral.